This 226-nucleotide long non-coding RNA is filed under the name Carica papaya (papaya). RNAcentral describes it as "long non-coding RNA (CPAP_LNC005660)". Lineage: Eukaryota; Viridiplantae; Streptophyta; Magnoliopsida; Brassicales; Caricaceae. The record is from RNAcentral.
GUGGUCCUAACAGAUGUCUAUAGUCAGGACAUUACUUAGCCACGGGUGACCCCUACAGAUAGUGUGAUACCACUCUCGUCAAACGGUAUGUCGUCAUCCACUAGGAGCGGUCCUCUUACGUCUUUCCAAGCAAGGUAAGGGAGGAGAAAAUAGAUACUCCAAAGGAUAAGGGGAAUAGAUACCCCUCAGAGAUAAAAAGGCUAACGAGACACUUGAUGCAAUAUGC